UACGGGGGGGGCAAGCGUUGUUCGGAAUUACUGGGCGUAAAGGGCUCGUAGGCGGCCCACUAAGUCAGACGUGAAAUCCCUCGGCUUAACCGGGGAACUGCGUCUGAUACUGGAGGGCUUGAGUUCGGGAGAGGGAUGCGGAAUUCCAGGUGUAGCGGUGAAAUGCGCAGAUAUCAGGAAGAACACCCGUGGCGAAGGCGGUUCUCUGGAACGCAACUGACGCUGAGACGCGAAAGCGUGGGGAGCAAACAGG
This 253-nucleotide ribosomal RNA is filed under the name uncultured bacterium. Its description in RNAcentral is "partial 16S ribosomal RNA". It matches the Rfam family "Bacterial small subunit ribosomal RNA", at positions 524 to 776 of the family's 1533-position model. The record is from RNAcentral.